UUCUCUACUGUAGCUUUUUUUUAUUCCCAAAAAAUCAGGAGCAUCCAUAUUUACAAACGGCAAUCAGGCAGAUUUCCUUUUAAAGGAGUGAUUCACUUUAACUCAUUCACUGCCAUUGACGACUAUAAAGUCGCCAUUUUAAAUCCAACCGUGCCAGUGACGACUAAAGUCGUCAUUUUAAAUCCAACCGUGCCAGUGACGACUAAAGUCGUCAUUUUAAAUCCAACCGUGCCAGUGACGACUAAAGUCGUCAUUUUAAAUCCAACCGUGCCAGUGACGACUAAAGUCGUCAUUUUAAAUCCAACCGUGCCAGUGACGACUAAAGUCGUCAUUUUAAAUCCAACCGUGCCAGUGACGACUAAAGUCGUCAUUUUAAAUCCAACCGUGCCAGUGACGACUAAAGUCGUCAUUUUAAAUCCAACCGUGCCAGUGACGACUAAAGUCGUCAUUUUAAAUCCAACCGUGCCAGUGACGACUAAAGUCGUCAUUUUAAAUCCAACCGUGCCAGUGACGACUAAAGUCGUCAUUUUAAAUCCAACCGUGCCAGUGACGACUAAAGUCGUCAUUUUAAAUCCAACCGUGCCAGUGACGACUAAAGUCGUCAUUUUAAAUCCAACCGUGCCAGUGACGACUAAAGUCGCCAUUUUAAAUCCAACCGUGCCAGUGACGACUAAAGUCGUCAUUUUAAAUCCAACCGUGCCAGUGACGACUAAAGUCGUCAUUUUAAAUCCAACCGUGCCAGUGACGACUAAAGUCGUCAUUUUAAAUCCAACCGUGCCAGUGACGACUAAAGUCGUCAUUUUAAAUCCAACCGUGCCAGUGACGACUAAAGUCGUCAUUUUAAAUCCAACCGUGCCAGUGACGACUAAAGUCGUCAUUUUAAAUCCAACCGUGCCAGUGACGACUAAAGUCGUCAUUUUAAAUCCAACCGUGCCAGUGACGACUAAAGUCGUCAUUUUAAAUCCAACCGUGCCAGUGACGACUAAAGUCGUCAUUUUAAAUCCAACCGUGCCAGUGACGACUAAAGUCGUCAUUUUAAAUCCAACCGUGCCAGUGACGACUAAAGUCGUCAUUUUAAAUCCAACCGUGCCAGUGACGACUAAAGUCGUCAUUUUAAAUCCAACCGUGCCAGUGACGACUAAAGUCGCCAUUUUAAAUCCAACCGUGCCAGUGACGACUAAAGUCACCAUUUUAAAUCCAACCGUGCCAGUGACGACUAAAGUCGCCAUUUUAAAUCCAACCGUGCCAGUGACGACUAAAGUCGCCAUUUUAAAUCCAACCGUGCCAGUGACGACUAAAGUCGUCAUUUGCAUGUUUUUACUGUGUAGGCGUCAGAACGAGUCCCCGCACCGUGAGAACAAACAUCUCCGCUCUAAAGCCGAUCUUCAUCCGCAUACGUCACACGUCACGUGGUCAGGAAGCAGAAAAUCCAUGUGUUAG
This 1440-nucleotide long non-coding RNA is filed under the name Nothobranchius furzeri (turquoise killifish). RNAcentral's name for it is "lncRNA (ENSNFUG00015017757.1)". Lineage: Eukaryota; Metazoa; Chordata; Actinopteri; Cyprinodontiformes; Nothobranchiidae. The record is from RNAcentral.